AAUAGAUACCCUGGUAGUCCACGCCGUAAACGAUGUCGACUUGGAGGUUGUUCCCUUGAGGAGUGGCUUCCGGAGCUAACGCGUUAAGUCGACCGCCUGGGGAGUACGGCCGCAAGGUUAAAACUCAAAUGAAUUGACGGGGGCCCGCACAAGCGGUGGAGCAUGUGGUUUAAUUCGAUGCAACGCGAAGAACCUUACCUACUCUUGACAUCCACGGAACUUUUCAGAGAUGAAUUGGUGCCUUCGGGAACCGUGAGACAGGUGCUGCAUGGCUGUCGUCAGCUCGUGUUGUGAAAUGUUGGGUUAAGUCCCGCAACGAGCGCAACCCUUAUCCUUUGUUGCCAGCGGUUAGGCCGGGAACUCAAAGGAGACUGCCAGUGAUAAACUGGAGGAAGGUGGGGAUGACGUCAAGUCAUCAUGGCCCUUACGAGUAGGGCUACACACGUGCUACAAUGGCGCAUACAAAGAGAAGCGACCUCGCGGGAGCAAGCGGACCUCAUAAAGUGCGUCGUAGUCCGGAUUGGAGUCUGCAACUCGACU
Molecule: ribosomal RNA, 540 nt
Filed under: uncultured bacterium
Lineage: Bacteria
Description: bacterial SSU rRNA
Rfam family: Bacterial small subunit ribosomal RNA
Source: RNAcentral